Molecule: non-coding RNA, 1084 nt
Organism: Pelobates cultripes (western spadefoot toad)
Lineage: Eukaryota; Metazoa; Chordata; Amphibia; Anura; Pelobatidae
Source: the annotation of a GenBank genome assembly
UGGGAACAGUAAAUGAGAGAGAGGAAAAUUACAGCUAAACACAAACACCACGAAACAGCCCUGGUCCUUAACGUACAACAUGGCCAAAACAUAAUGCAUCGAGAAAUGAUUAGAUGUAUGUGUUUGGGAUUCAGACAAGAUUGUUCAGGACUUACAAAUAAAAAAACGAACCAGUGAAAAAAAUGUCUUGGGCACAUAUAUAAGUCAAGACUCUGGCACUCGACCCAAAAUAAAACGGUCCCAAACGUAACAAAGUUUCACAAAUCACUAUUCCGAAAUUUAACUCGGCAAGUGCAAAUAUCUCCAAAAGUAUUAAAAAAACGAUGGUAAAUUUUAUCGGCUGAUAAAACCCUCAGUACUAUUUUUUCCAAUCCACCUAGGAUAGCCUAUAUCAGGAACAAAAGCCUCAAAGAUCUACUUAUGAAGACAGAUUUACCAUGAGAAAGCUUGGUCCCGAUUAAAUCUAAUAGGAUGGGUUGUUUCCGAUGCACCGGAUGUGUUACAUGUGGGCACAUGUUGACUGGUUCAUCGUUUGUGCAUCCACAUUCUGGUAAAAGGUAUAAGAUUAGAUACCACAUUACAUGUUUGACAGACCAUGUCAUAUAUCUCAUCUCCUGUCCGUGUGGACUUUUCUACGUUUGUAAAACGGACCUUACUCUUCGGGACAGAAUUAGGGGACAUUGAUCAGCCAUCAUGACUGCGUUUAGAGAUGGGAAACCGGACAAACCGGUGGCUAAACAUUUUUGUGAAUACAAUUACAGAUUACCCACCCUUAAAUUUAUUGCUAUCGAUGUGAUACCAAUCCUAAACGAGAGGAGGAGACUGUUCCAGAUUAUUUCUCCAGAAAGAGACCUUUUGGAUCAAGCAAUUGGAUACUUUACAACCUAAGUAACAAAUAUAUUUUGUUCACUUCAUUUUUGGAUACUCGCUAAGGUUAACAUUCUAGUAUUAUGCUGUUACGUAUUAUUGGUAGCCCUAUGUUAGACUACUUUUCGCUAUUGUUGCUUUUGACUAGUGGGUAUCAUUCAGCCUCAGCAUCCUGCAUCUUUUGUAUUGGAUACAUGGUUAUGGUUAAUAGUCUUCU